This 77-nucleotide transfer RNA is filed under the name Ruminococcus sp. RNAcentral's name for it is "tRNA-Arg". It matches the Rfam family "tRNA". From Rfam's summary of the family: Transfer RNA (tRNA) molecules are approximately 80 nucleotides in length. The record is from RNAcentral. RNAcentral also lists the same sequence under 7 other names. Lineage: Bacteria; Bacillati; Bacillota; Clostridia; Eubacteriales; Oscillospiraceae.
GCGCCAGUAGCUCAGCUGGAUAGAGUAUCUGGCUACGAACCAGAGGGUCGGGGGUUCGAAUCCCUCCUGGCGUGCCA